Molecule: ribosomal RNA, 242 nt
Filed under: uncultured soil bacterium
Lineage: Bacteria
Description: partial 16S ribosomal RNA
Rfam family: Bacterial small subunit ribosomal RNA
Source: RNAcentral
AGAUUGAACGCUGGCGGCAUGCCUUACACAUGCAAGUCGAACGGCAGCACGGGAGCAAUCCUGGUGGCGAGUGGCGAACGGGUGAGUAAUAUAUCGGAACGUGCCCAGUCGUGGGGGAUAACGCAGCGAAAGCUGUGCUAAUACCGCAUACGAUCUAUGGAUGAAAGGCGGGGGAUCGCAAGACCUCGCGCGAUUGGAGCGGCCGAUAUCAGAUUAGCUAGUUGGUAGGGGUAAAAGCCUAA